ACGCUGGUGGUUCAGUGGUAGAAUUCUCGCCUGCCACGCGGGAGACCGGGGUUCGAUUCCCCGCUAGCGCA
Molecule: transfer RNA, 71 nt
Filed under: Dendronephthya gigantea
Lineage: Eukaryota; Metazoa; Cnidaria; Anthozoa; Malacalcyonacea; Nephtheidae
Description: tRNA-Gly
Rfam family: tRNA
About the family: Transfer RNA (tRNA) molecules are approximately 80 nucleotides in length. Their secondary structure includes four short double-helical elements and three loops (D, anti-codon, and T loops).
Source: RNAcentral